This 301-nucleotide ribosomal RNA is filed under the name uncultured bacterium. Its description in RNAcentral is "partial 16S ribosomal RNA". It matches the Rfam family "Bacterial small subunit ribosomal RNA", at positions 509 to 809 of the family's 1533-position model. The record is from RNAcentral.
CAGUAGCCACGGUAAUACUAGGGGAGCUAGCGUUGUUCGGAAUUACUGGGCGUAAAGCGCGCGUAGGCGGCUUUUUAAGUCAGAGGUGAAAGCCCGGGGCUCAACCCCGGAAUUGCCUUUGAAACUGGAAAGCUAGAAUCUUGGAGAGGUCAGUGGAAUUCCGAGUGUAGAGGUGAAAUUCGUAGAUAUUCGGAAGAACACCAGUGGCGAAGGCGACUGACUGGACAAGUAUUGACGCUGAGGUGCGAAAGCGUGGGGAGCAAACAGGAUUAGAUACCCCGGUAGUCCCUGUCUCUUAUAA